GUGAGUAGUUCAGAGUUUGAUCCUGGCUCAGGAUGAACGCUAGCGGCAGGCUUAACACAUGCAAGUCGAGGGGCAGCGUGAUGAAGUAGCAAUACGGAUUUGAUGGCGACCGGCGCACGGGUGCGUAACGCGUGGGUAACCUGCCUCAUACAGGGGGAUAACAGUUAGAAAUGACUGCUAAUACCGCAUAAGCGCACAGUACCGCAUGGUACCGUGUGAAAAGCCGAGACGGUAUGAGAUGGACCCGCGUCUGAUUAGCUAGUUGGUGGGGUAACGGCCCACCAAGGCGACGAUCAGUAGCCGACCUGAGAGGGUGACCGGCCACAUUGGGACUGAGACACGGCCCAA
This 348-nucleotide ribosomal RNA is filed under the name uncultured bacterium. Its description in RNAcentral is "bacterial SSU rRNA". It matches the Rfam family "Bacterial small subunit ribosomal RNA", at positions 1 to 334 of the family's 1533-position model. The record is from RNAcentral.